CCCUUAGUAGUGGCGAACGAAACGGGAUCAGCCCAUCACGUAGGAUCAUAGGCUUAAUUGUCUAUUGAUCGAUUCCGUGUAAAGGAGGGUCCAUUAUCUUGCACAUAUAAACAUCAUAUUUAAGUCCAGCUUGAAUGCGGCUCAAUAUACCCACAGAGGGUGCCAGGCCCGUAUAUGUAUGAUGCUUGUGUAAGUGGGCUAUCAACUCCUAGGAGUCAUGUUGCUUGAUAGUGCAGCAUUAAGUGGGAGGUAAACUCCUUCUAAGGCUAAAUAUUACC
Molecule: ribosomal RNA, 278 nt
Filed under: Chironomus tentans
Lineage: Eukaryota; Metazoa; Arthropoda; Insecta; Diptera; Chironomidae
Description: partial 28S ribosomal RNA
Rfam family: Eukaryotic large subunit ribosomal RNA
Source: RNAcentral